Molecule: ribosomal RNA, 440 nt
Filed under: uncultured bacterium
Lineage: Bacteria
Description: partial 16S ribosomal RNA
Rfam family: Bacterial small subunit ribosomal RNA
Source: RNAcentral
CCUACGGGUGGCUGCAGUGGGGAAUAUUGCACAAUGGGGGAGACCCUGAUGCAGCGACGCCGCGUGAGUGAAGAAGUAAUUAGUUGUGUAAAGCUCUAUCAGCAGGGGAGAAAAUGACGGUACCUGAGUGAGAAGCCCCGGCUAACUACGUGCCAGCAGCCGCGGUAAUACGUAGGGGGCAAGCGUUAGCCGGAUUUACUGGGGGUAAAGGGAGCGUAGACGGCAGUGCAAGUCUGGAGUGAAAGGCGGGGGCUCAACCCCCGGACUGCUGUGGAAACUGUACGGCUGGAGUGCAGGAGAGGUAAGUGGAAUUCCUAGUGUAGCGGUGAAAUGCGUAGAUAUUAGGAGGAACCCCAGUGGCGAAGGCGGCUUACUGGAACGUAACUGACGUUGAGGCUCGAAAGCGUGGGGAGCAAACAGGAUUAGAUACCCGAGUAGUC